UAUGACUUUCCGGGGUACACGCCACAGGAAAAAGGAAAAAGUCUCAGGUGGGCAUGCGUGUAACUCCCUAAACGCACUGCGCGUGCUCAAUUCCAAAGGCUAAGGAAAGCAUUGCGCAUGCGGGAAACCCACGCUGAGGGAAGAAUCAUGGGAAAGAGUAGAGACGGGGUUCCACCGUGUUAGCCAGGAUGGUCUCGAUUUCCUGACCUCGUCAUCCUCCCGCCUUGGCCUCCCAAAGUGCUGGGAUUACAGGCUUGAGCCACCGCGCCCCGCUCUUUCGUGUUCCAAAGGCUUUUUAAAUAAACUUCCACUCCUGUCCUGGAUUCUGCUUUAUGGCCCUCAGUCGAAUUCUUUCUUCUGAGGAGGCAAGGACUGAAGUUGCUUCUGACCAGUACAGGUACGCCGCAGGAGAAAACGAAUACAGCAGGGAUGACUUCCACCAGCUCCACUUUGCAGCUCUGAGGUGUAUUAAAAAUGACCUGGAAGAAGUCAUGCCACGGGCCAGACCUUAACAUUCCUUUCGGCUUACCCCAGGAUUUCAGACAAAGCUUCACUUUCCUAACCAGUCACAAAUCAGAGAAUUUUUGAUUCCACCUAUGACCUGUGAGCUCCUGCUUCAAGAUAUUCCACCUUUUUUAGGCCAAACCAAUGUAUAACCUCCAAGUGUCGAUUUACACUUUCGACUGUAACUUCUGCUUUCCUGAGAUUUACCCCUGCCUUUAAAAACCCUUGCUUGUAAUCCCUCAGGGAGGCCGUGUAUUUAUUAAUCAUGAGCUGCCCAAUUCUCCUUGCUUGGUGCCCUGCAAAUAAACACCCUCUUUUCUCCCACUGCAAAACCUCAGUGUGGAUGUUUGGCUUUACUUCACCCCCAGGAAAGCAGACCCAGGUUUGACUCAGCAACAACAUCUGUUUCUAUUUUUCUCUGUAUAAAUAUUAAAAACCAUAAGUACAUGCUAUCUCCAAUUCCAAUAUAAACCCAUAGGGCUCAUUCUGGCCUUCCCAUUUUCUUAUGUGUAAUUCAUUUCUCUGAAAAUGAGAAUUCGAGUACUCAGAUAUUU
RNAcentral lists this long non-coding RNA (1058 nucleotides) under Homo sapiens (human). RNAcentral describes it as "PREDICTED lncRNA (TCONS_00248710)". Lineage: Eukaryota; Metazoa; Chordata; Mammalia; Primates; Hominidae. The record is from RNAcentral.